Molecule: ribosomal RNA, 478 nt
Filed under: uncultured bacterium
Lineage: Bacteria
Description: partial 16S ribosomal RNA
Rfam family: Bacterial small subunit ribosomal RNA
Source: RNAcentral
GACGAACGCUGGCGGCGUGCUUAACACAUGCAAGUCGAACGGUAAGGCCCUUCGGAGUACACGAGUGGCGAACGGGUGAGUAACACGUGGGUGAUCUACCCUGCACUUCGGGAUAAGCCCGGGAAACUGGGUCUAAUACCGGAUAGGACUCCUGGCUUCAUGGUUGGGGGUGGAAAGCUUUUGCGGUGUGGGAUGGGCCCGCGGCCGAUCAGCUUGUUGGGGGGGUAAUGGCCUACCAAGGCGACGACGGGUAGCCGGCCUGAGAGGGUGACCGGUCACACUGGGACUGGGAUACGGCCCAGACUCCUACGGGAGGCAGCAGUGGGGAAUAUUGCACAAUGGGCGCAAGCCUGGUGCAGCGACGCCGCGUGAGGGAUGACGGCCUUCGGGUUGUAAACCUCUUUCAGCUAUGACGAAGCGCAAGUGACGGUAGUAGCAGAAGAAGGACCGGCCAACUACGUGCCAGCAGCCGCCGUAA